UACAAAUUCUGUGGUAGUAGGU
This 22-nucleotide microRNA is filed under the name Bombyx mori (domestic silkworm). RNAcentral describes it as "bmo-miR-2814". Lineage: Eukaryota; Metazoa; Arthropoda; Insecta; Lepidoptera; Bombycidae. The record is from miRBase by way of RNAcentral.